This is a long non-coding RNA of Syngnathus typhle (broad-nosed pipefish), 2084 nucleotides long. RefSeq lists it as uncharacterized. The transcript has 4 exons. NCBI's taxonomy places the organism in Eukaryota, Metazoa, Chordata, Actinopteri, Syngnathiformes, Syngnathidae. The record is from RefSeq and is a predicted model, not a curated record.
AUGACGUCAGGUAGCCCCGCCCCUUUGUUUACUUCCAAACGAGCCAAAAUAGUGCCGUUCGUUUGUGUUUCGUUUGUGCUAGUUUGUGCUGCAAAAAUGGUACCCAUUGUCCCGGCUGCUACGGUUUUGCAGAUAUUACACAUUUAAUUCAUAGCGAAGACGUCACCCAGCCCCACGUCACUGUAUUUUGUCGCGAAUUUCAAGCUCCUGGAAUGCUCCUGAUGCAGGACGAAUACAAGCUCCAGACUGGAGGGAAAUUCAAGUAAGGCAACUUCCUUGCAACUGCUACCAAGACGGACACUGGGAAGGAUUUUCAAUUGGCCUGAGGCAGAGAGAGUCAGGAAGGCUGAGUCCCUCUUCAGCAGCAGUCUGAAGAGAAGCCAUGCCACAGGUCUGCAGGACAGCAACGUUUGGACAAACAAAGCAAAUCCGCAUGUUUCCCUCAAUGAAGGAAAGAUGACAAGCAACAAACCGGUCCACACGAAUGGGUAGGCUUUCAUGCUUGAAAAGGCCUUUUUUUAUGUUUUUGAACUCUGCUUCAACAGCUGCGGAACUUGCAGUGAUGCUGGUGCUUUUGAAGAGAGGGACCAUUAUUGCUGUCCAGAGUGGCAAGUAACUUCCAAAUCUUGUUAUUUGGGGAAUAAUCUCAGGGAGGAAGUGGAUGUUGUCUCUAUCCCCAUCAGCCAUGGCAAGUGACCUGCUCUCCUCACAUAUUUCUGUCACCCACUCUCGGACAUUAGUCUGGAUGUGCUGAUUUAAUCCAUCACUUGGUUCUUGUCCCUCAACUUCCUCAUCUGAAAUGGGGACAAAUUCCUCUGCGAUUUGCGCUCUCAAGUAUUUCUUGCACUUUUCUGAUGGGAUAGGGGCUCCAGAAUUGUCAUUACCCUCUGUCUCACUCAGUGCCACAAUGGUGAUAGCACGAAGAAGUUAUUUUGCAUGUUGCAAACAUUGUGACUUAAGAAGCUGUGCUAUUGACCUAAUAAAGAAAUCCUUAACACGAGGUCUUUUGUUUUUCAGGCAGUCCCAUCGGUAGAUCAUCUUAAUGCCUGACAAAACAUGGGGGUAGAUGUCCAGGUUAAUUCCCACGUGAAAUGUUAAAGCACUCAUUGAUGUAGCUCUUCAGAUCAGGAUGAGGGGUAAAAGCGUUGACUAGAGCUCCAAGAAUCGCCAGAGAAAAGUCACUCACUGCUUCUUUAGGAACAGAUGCACCUGCAUGGAUCCAUUCCUUCAGCCACUGUGUGAUAGCAUUAACAUCAUGCUUCUCUGACAGCAUCUGCACGACUGGGACACUGGAGCUGGUAUGCCCUGUCAUAACACCCUGAUACAGGAAGAUAUGGCCAGACAUGCCAUUCGGCCUCAUCAGUUUUUUAACUAUUGAGCCAGUUGCAUCAACACAUAAUAUUGGGUGGGAUUUCUUUAAGCUCUUGUACACUUGCAUUUGUGUUUGACUCCAAUAGUGACAGAAGAACUUGUCAAGUCCAAUGUCUUUGAUGCUGUCACUGUGAGGUGCACUGUAUUUCAACAUCUGCAAUGAUAAAAUUGGAUUUUUGUCACCUAAUGCCAAAUCAUUUUUCUCUUGCUUUGCCUUGCGCAGGGUGGCCAAAUUUGGCAGGUGGCUUGGCCCAGGGUCUCCGAAGUCCAUCGAUUUAUUUGCCUGUGAUGCUCGCCAUACAUGUGGUUCCAUCCUGCCCUCACAAAGUUCCUUGGCUACCUGCACACGCAACUGUCCAGAUAGAAACCGCUUUGAGCUACCAGUGUGUAGGGAGUCUUCACUGUUCUUAAUGAAACAGUUCAAUAUUAUUGGACUGUUAAUUUCUGGCUCCCCGCUACAAUUAAUGUUGAGAAGGCCAUGACACUCCUUGCAGUAUCCUCUGAUUUCGAUAUAAUUAUUUGAGACCAAUGGAUAGACCUUGGCUCUUUUAAAAACAAAUGUGCAAGGAGUUUUGACUGUUUUCCAGAUUUGUUCAUUUAUGAUGUGGGUCCAGGUGCCAGGCUUCAAAAUUGUAUAUUCUCUUUUUCGGGUUCGACAGUUCUUAUCUUUGUAUUCAGCCUUUUCCGGAAUAAAUUCCAUCCACUUGUCAAAA